Molecule: ribosomal RNA, 301 nt
Filed under: uncultured bacterium
Lineage: Bacteria
Description: partial 16S ribosomal RNA
Rfam family: Bacterial small subunit ribosomal RNA
Source: RNAcentral
CAGUCGCCGCGGGAAUACGUAGGUGGCAAGCGUUGUCCGGAAUUAUUGGGCGUAAAGGGCUCGCAGGCGGUUUCUUAAGUCUGAUGUGAAAGCCCCCGGCUCAACCGGGGAGGGUCAUUGGAAACUGGGAAACUUGAGUGCAGAAGAGGAGAGUGGAAUUCCACGUGUAGCGGUGAAAUGCGUAGAUAUAUGGAGGAACACCAGUGGCGAAGGCGACUCUCUGGUCUGUAACUGACGCUGAGGCGCGAAAGCGUGGGGAGCAAACAGGAUUAGAUACCCCCGUAGUCCCUGUCUCUUAUAC